Molecule: long non-coding RNA, 1186 nt
Organism: Entelurus aequoreus (snake pipefish)
Lineage: Eukaryota; Metazoa; Chordata; Actinopteri; Syngnathiformes; Syngnathidae
Exons: 3
Source: RefSeq, a predicted model, not a curated record
AGGCUUCGCUACACGUCUUAAAAUGAAGCCCGGAGAUCUGCGGACUAUUGGUCAGUCCGCUACAGACCUAAGAAGGGCUACGCUACAUGUCUUAAAAUGAAGCCCAGAGAUCUGCGGACUAUUGGUCAGUCCGCUACAGACCUAGAAACGCUCUGCAGACAUCUGACGCAGAUUGAUGAAAGACGUCAAAGCGGCAGAAGUGCUGAGCAUCCAUGUGCUCGUCUGCAGGCAUCGGUCUUCCCCAUAUAAAGAACAUAAAGCAACGUCCUGACCUCAUCCCAGAACUCAUUCACUGAUUGUAUAAGCUGCGGAGAUCCUUCUCAUCUCGCUAGGAGGAGCUCAUCCCAGCGCUAAACAGCGACUUUUCGGGCUUUUGUCUGCGCCUUUCAUGCGCCGACAGGUGACGCCUCGCGGGUUAAUCGCUUCUCAUUUACAAGUGCUGACGUUUUAUCGCACGGCUGAACACGAGACGGGGGGGGUGGAUUUUGUGCUUUGCUUUUUGUGACCACAAGCCGGCUUUCUAGAACAGACUGAAGAGACGAGAAGAGGUCGCAAUGAAAGAGAAAAGGCCGACUGCAAGCAAUAAACACACUUUUGUUAGCUUGUUGAGGGAGAUUGAAAGCCGGACAAACACGCUUGAAGUCAAGGUAGCCGCACAAAACCCCCCCGGAAUGAAGCGUUGCAUCAACAGCCAGCACCAGACCCUCUAACCCCCAACCCAGAAGCAGCUCGGACUAAUUGAUUCAGCUGGCAACAUUCCAGCAGCGCUCUGCUUGUCGACAUGCAGGCUGGUAUACAGAGCGGGCUGACCCAGGUCACUGGCGUGUUUACCAAAGUGGAAAUUGGUUUGUGCAUGACCUCCGCAUGGAUCUGCAAGCACUCUCAACGCUUGUUAAUAGCCAGGAGGAACCAUACACAACGCUCAAUUGUAUCAGUAAUACAUCUUGCUUGACAUUCACUCAUAACCAUUCACUUAAGUUGCGCACAUCCAUCCAUCCAUUUUCUACCGCUUGUCCCUUUUGGGAUCACGGGGGGUCGCUGGAGCCUAUCCCAGCUGCAUUCAGGCGGUAGGCGGGGUACACCCUGGACAAGUCGCCACCUCAUCACAGGGCCAACACAGAUAGACGCACAUGUUCUCCUUCAUCCAUGUACAGUACAGGCCAAAAGUUUGGACAAACCUCAAUCA